GAUGAACGCUGGCGGCGUGCCUAAUACAUGCAAGUCGGGCGAACGGACGAGAAGCUUGCUUCUCUGAUGUUAGCGGCGGACGGGUGAGUAACACGUGUAUAACCUACCUAUAAGACUGGGAUAACUUCGGGAAACGGGAUCUUAUACCGUAUAAUAUUUUGAACCGCAGGGGGCAAAGGUGAGAGACGGCCGUGCUGUCUGUAAUAGAUGGUUCUGGGCUGCAUCAGCUAGUUGUGCAGGUAACGGGUUACCAAGGGAACGAUGCAUGGCCGACCGGAGAGGGUGAUAGGCCACAUUGGAAGUGAGCCACCGUCAAGACUACUACGGGAGGCAGCAGUAGGGAAUCGUACGCAAUAGGCGAAAGCCUGACGGAGCGACGCCGCGUGAGUGAUGAAGGUCUUCGGAUCGUAAAAAUCUGUUAUUAGGGAAGAACAGCUGUGUAAGUAGAUGUGGCGAUAUUGACGGUAACUAAUAAGAAAGCAACGGCUAACUACGUG
Molecule: ribosomal RNA, 497 nt
Filed under: uncultured bacterium
Lineage: Bacteria
Description: partial 16S ribosomal RNA
Rfam family: Bacterial small subunit ribosomal RNA
Source: RNAcentral